Molecule: ribosomal RNA, 491 nt
Filed under: uncultured bacterium
Lineage: Bacteria
Description: partial 16S ribosomal RNA
Rfam family: Bacterial small subunit ribosomal RNA
Source: RNAcentral
GAUGAACGCUAGCUACAGGCCUAACACAUGCAAGUCGAGGGGAAACGAUGAGAGAGCUUGCUCUUUUAGUUGUCGACCGGCGCACGGGUGAGUAAUGCGUAUCCACCCUGUCUCUGACCAAGGGAUACGUCGUCGAAAGUCGGAUUAAUACUCUAUGCAGUCGCCGGAAGUAACAUGAUGACGACGAACGAUUUCAUCGGUGAGAGAUGGGGAUGCGUCUGAUUAGCUUGUUGGCGGGGUAACGGCCCACCAAGGCGACGUUCAGUAGGGGUUCUGAGGGGAAGGUCCCCCGCAUUGGAGCUGAGGCACAGACCAAACUCCUACGGAGGGCAGCAGUAUGGAAUAUUAGUCGAUGAGCGUAGACCUAAACCAGCCGAGUGGCGUGCAGAAUGACGGUCCUAUGAAUUGUAAGCUGCUUUUAUGCAAGAAUAAAGUGAGGAACGUGUCCUGCAUUGCAGGUACCGCAUGAAUAAGGACCGGCUAAUUCCGUG